RNAcentral lists this ribosomal RNA (254 nucleotides) under uncultured bacterium. RNAcentral's name for it is "partial 16S ribosomal RNA". It matches the Rfam family "Bacterial small subunit ribosomal RNA", at positions 524 to 776 of the family's 1533-position model. The record is from RNAcentral.
CACGUACCGUGCGAACGUUAUUCGGAAUCACUGGGCUUAAAGGGGUGCGUAGGCGGCGAUUCAAGUCAGAUGUGAAAUGCCUGAGCUCAACUGAGGCAUUGUGUUUGAAACUGAUUUGCUAGAGUAUUUCAGGGGUGUGCGGAACUGCCAGUGGAGCGGUGAAGUGUGUUGAUAUUGGCAGGAACACCGGAGGCGAAAGCGGCACACUGGGGAAUAACUGACGCUGAGGCACGAAAGCCAGGGGAGCGAACGAG